Molecule: long non-coding RNA, 1514 nt
Organism: Cyanistes caeruleus (blue tit)
Lineage: Eukaryota; Metazoa; Chordata; Aves; Passeriformes; Paridae
Source: Ensembl
AAAAAUCAGGCUGGAACAGGCCAAAAAUCACCUUAAAAAAUCUCUAAAAAUCACCUUGAAAUAGCCCAAAAAUCACCUUAAAAUAGGCCAAAAAUCACCUUAAGAAAGCUCCAAAAAUCACCUUAAAAAAGCUCCAAAAAUUACCUUGAAAUAGCCUCAAAAAUUACCUUAAAGUUGCCCAAAAUUCACCCUGAAACAGCCCCAAAACCUCUCAAAAAACCUGCAAAAAAAUUCCCCAAAAUCCCCAAAACCUUCAACAACCCCAAACCAGCUCCAAAAACUCGAACAAACCUGAAAAAAAACCAAGAAAAACUCAAAAAAAAAAUCAAAAAAAAUCCCACAAAAAUUCAAAAUAAAUCCCAAAAAAAUCCCCAAAAAUCCCCAAACAAUCCCAAAAAAAACCCCAAAAAUAAAAAAAAUCCUAAAAAACCAAAAAAAAUCCCAAAAAAAUCUCCAAAAAUUCAAAAUAAAACCCAAAAAAAAUCCCCCCAAAAAUCCCCCAAAAAUACAAAAAAAUCCCCAAAAAAUCCCAAAAAAUCCCAAAAAAAUCCCCAAAAAAGCCAAAAAUCCAAAAAAAAUCCCCCAAAAAUCCCCAAAACAAUCCUAAAAAAGCCAAAAAAAAUCCCCAAAAAAUCCCCCCAAAAAUCCUAAAAAAUCCAAAAAAAAUCCCCAAAAAAUCCCCCCAAAAUUCCAAAAAAUCCCCAAAAAUCCCAAAAAAAUCCCAAAAAAAAUCCCAAAAAAGUCCCAAAAAACCCAAAAAAAUCCCCAAAAAAAUCCCAAAAAAUCCCCCAAAAAAUCCCCAAAAAUCCCCCAAAAAAUCCCAAAAAAGUCCCCAAAAAAUCCCAAAAAAAUCCCAAAAAAUCCCAAAAAAUCCCCCCAAAAUUCCCCAAAAAAUCCCCAAAAAUCCCCAAAAAAUCCCAAAAUAUCCCAAAAAAUCCUGUUUUUUUUAUUUUUCCCUUUCCCAGGUAACAACAUGCUGCUGGUGGGGGUCCAGGGACCCCGGAACCCCUGCGAGGAGAUCGUGGUCAAGCACUUGGGCAACCAACUCUACAACGUGGGCUACCUGCUGCGGGAGCGCGGCGACUACGUGCUCGUGGUCAAGUGGGGCGAGCAGCACGUGCCCAACAGCCCCUUCCGCGUCUCCGUGCCCUGAGAGGCCCCAAAAAAACCCCCUGGGGGUCCCCAAAAUCUGCGAGAAGUUCCCCAGAGUCGGUGAAAGUUCCCAAAAGUUCAUCAGAGUUCUUGGAAGUUCCUCAAAGUUCUCCAAACUUGGCCAAAAGUUCCUCAAACUUGGCCAAAAGUCCCUCAAAGUUGGUGAAGGUUCCUCAAAGUUCCUGAAACAUGACCCAAAGUCCCUCAAACGUGGCCAAAAAAUCUCUCAAAGUUGGCCAAAAGUUCCCCAGAAAUGGUGAAAGUUCCCAAAAGUUCAUCAAAGUUCUCCAAACUUGGCCAAAAGUCCCUCAGAAUUGGGCAAAGUUCCUCAAAAUUGGCCAAAAGUCCCUUAAAUUGGCCAA